CUACGGGAGGCAGCAGUGAGGAAUAUUGGUCAAUGGGUGCAAGCCUGAACCAGCCAUCCCGCGUGAAGGAUUAAGGUCCUAUGGAUUGUAAACUUCUUUUGUAUAGGGAUAAACCUACCCUCGUGAGGGUAGCUGAAGGUACUAUACGAAUAAGCACCGGCUAACUCCGUGCCAGCAGCCGCGGUAA
RNAcentral lists this ribosomal RNA (187 nucleotides) under uncultured bacterium. RNAcentral's name for it is "partial 16S ribosomal RNA". It matches the Rfam family "Bacterial small subunit ribosomal RNA", at positions 339 to 523 of the family's 1533-position model. The record is from RNAcentral.